RNAcentral lists this ribosomal RNA (385 nucleotides) under uncultured bacterium. Its description in RNAcentral is "bacterial SSU rRNA". It matches the Rfam family "Bacterial small subunit ribosomal RNA", at positions 30 to 417 of the family's 1533-position model. The record is from RNAcentral.
AUUGAACGCUGGCGGCAUGCCUUACACAUGCAAGUCGAACGGCAGCGGACCUUCGGGUGCCGGCGAGUGGCGAACGGGUGAGUAAUAUAUCGGAACGUACCUUUCAGUGGGGGAUAACGUAGCGAAAGUUACGCUAAUACCGCAUAUUCUGUGAGCAGGAAAGCAGGGGGAUCGCAAGACCUUGCGCUGAUUGAGCGGCCGAUAUCAGAUUAGCUAGUUGGUGAGGUAAAGGCUCACCAAGGCGACGAUCUGUAGCGGGUCUGAGAGGAUGAUCCGCCACACUGGAACUGAGACACGGUCCAGACUCCUAGGGAGGCAGCAGUGGGGAAUUUUGGACAAUGGGCGCAAGCCUGAUCCAGCCAUGCCGCGUGAGUGAAGAAGGCCU